Molecule: ribosomal RNA, 473 nt
Filed under: uncultured bacterium
Lineage: Bacteria
Description: bacterial SSU rRNA
Rfam family: Bacterial small subunit ribosomal RNA
Source: RNAcentral
GAACGCUAGCGGCAGGCUUAACACAUGCAAGUCGAGGGUAUAGUUCUUCGGAAUUAGAGACCGGCGCACGGGUGCGUAACGCGUUAUGCAAUCUACCUUUCACAAAGGAUAGCCAGAGAAAUUUGGAUUAAUACCUUAUAGUAAUACGACUUGGCAUCAAGAUGUAUUUAAAGAUUUAUCGGUGAAAGAUGAGCAUGCGUCCCAUUAGCUUGUUGGUAAGGUAACGGCUUACCAAGGCAACGAUGGGUAGGGGUCCUGAGAGGGAGAUCCCCCACACUGGUACUGAGACACGGGCCAGACUCCUACGGGAGGCAGCAGUGAGGAAUAUUGGACAAUGGGCGCAAGCCUGAUCCAGCCAUGCCGCGUGCAGGAUGACGGUCCUAUGGAUUGUAAACUGCUUUUGUACAGGAAGAAACCCUUUCACGUGUGGAAGAUUGACGGUACUGUAAGAAUAAGGAUCGGCUAACUCCGUG